GACGAACGCUGGCGGCGUGCUUAACACAUGCAAGUCGAGCGGUAAGGCCCUUUCGGGGGUAUACGAGCGGCGAACGGGUGAGUAACACGUGGGUGACCUGCCCUCAGCUCUGGGAUAAGCCUGGGAAACCGGGUCUAAUACCGGAUAUGACUCCAUGACGCAUGUUGUGGGGUGGAAAGCCUUGUGCGGCUGAGGAUGGGCCCGCGGCCUAUCAGCUUGUUGGUGGGGUGAUGGCCUACCAAGGCGACGACGGGUAGCCGGCCUGAGAGGGCGACCGGCCACACUGGGACUGAGACACGGCCCAGACUCCUACGGGAGGCAGCAGUGGGGAAUCUUGCGCAAUGGGCGAAAGCCUGACGCAGCGACGCCGCGUGAGGGAUGACGGCCU
This 388-nucleotide ribosomal RNA is filed under the name uncultured bacterium. Its description in RNAcentral is "bacterial SSU rRNA". It matches the Rfam family "Bacterial small subunit ribosomal RNA", at positions 28 to 417 of the family's 1533-position model. The record is from RNAcentral.